GACGAACGCUGGCGGCGUGCUUAACACAUGCAAGUCGAACGGAAAGGCCCUGCUUUUGUGGGGUGCUCGAGUGGCGAACGGGUGAGUAACACGUGAGUAACCUGCCCUUGACUUUGGGAUAACUUCAGGAAACUGGGGCUAAUACCGGAUAGGAGCUCCUGCUGCAUGGUGGGGGUUGGAAAGUUUCGGCGGUUGGGGAUGGACUCGCGGCUUAUCAGCUUGUUGGUGGGGUAGUGGCUUACCAAGGCUUUGACGGGUAGCCGGCCUGAGAGGGUGAACGGCCACCUUGGGACUGAGAUACGGCCCAGACUCCUACGGGAGGCAGCAGUGGGGAAUAUUGCGCAAUGGGCGGGAGCCUGAUGCAGCAACGCCGCGUGCGGGAUGACGGCCUUCGGGUUGUAAACCGCUUUCGCCUGUGACGAAGCGUGAGUGACGGUAAUGGGUAAAGAAGCACCGGCUAACUACGUG
Molecule: ribosomal RNA, 468 nt
Filed under: uncultured bacterium
Lineage: Bacteria
Description: partial 16S ribosomal RNA
Rfam family: Bacterial small subunit ribosomal RNA
Source: RNAcentral